GCGAGAAAACUUUGCAAUGUGCGAAAGCACGACAAGGUUAAUCCGAGUGGUUUCUGCUAAAGAAACCUUUUGUCAGUCCUAGAAACACUAACGAAUAAGGGGUGGGCAAGUUCUGGUGUCAGCCGCCGCGGUAAAACCAGCACCUCAAGUGGUCAGGAUGAUUAUUGGGCCUAAAGCAUCCGUAGCUCGUUUUGUAAGUUUUCGGUUAAAUCCAUGCGCUUAACGUAUGGGCUGCCGGGAAUACUGCAUAACUAGGAAGUGGGAGAGGUAGACGGUACUCGGUAGGAAGGGGUAAAAUCCUUUGAUCUACUGAUGACCACCUGUGGCGAAGGCGGUCUACCAGAACACGUUCGACGGUGAGGGAUGAAAGCUGGGGGAGCAAACCGGAUUAGAUACCCACGUAGUCCCUGAGCGGGCUGGCAAGGCGCAU
Molecule: ribosomal RNA, 430 nt
Filed under: uncultured bacterium
Lineage: Bacteria
Description: bacterial SSU rRNA
Rfam family: Archaeal small subunit ribosomal RNA
Source: RNAcentral